Molecule: small nuclear RNA, 119 nt
Filed under: Bursaphelenchus xylophilus (pine wood nematode)
Lineage: Eukaryota; Metazoa; Nematoda; Chromadorea; Rhabditida; Aphelenchoididae
Description: U5 spliceosomal RNA
Rfam family: U5 spliceosomal RNA
About the family: U5 RNA is a component of both types of known spliceosome. The precise function of this molecule is unknown, though it is known that the 5' loop is required for splice site selection and p220 binding, and that both the 3' stem-loop and the Sm site are important for Sm protein binding and cap methylation.
Source: Rfam by way of RNAcentral
CAUCUCUGGGGUCCAUGCAUCCUCAAACGGACAAAUCUUUCGCCUUUUACUAAAGAUUUCCGUGCAUGGGCUCGCUUAUGAGUUCUAUAAAUUUUUGGAGGUCCAUUGUCGGAUGGACU